This 253-nucleotide ribosomal RNA is filed under the name uncultured bacterium. RNAcentral's name for it is "partial 16S ribosomal RNA". It matches the Rfam family "Bacterial small subunit ribosomal RNA", at positions 524 to 776 of the family's 1533-position model. The record is from RNAcentral.
UACGGAGGGUGCGAGCGUUAAUCGGAAUUACUGGGCGUAAAGGGCACGCAGGCGGGUUUUUAAGUGAGAUGUGAAAUCCCCGGGCUUAACCUGGGAAUAGCAUUUGAGACUGGGAGUCUAGAGUCCUGUAGGGAGGGGUAGAAUUCCAGGUGUAGCGGUGAAAUGCGUAGAGAUGUGGAGGAAUACCGAAGGCGAAGGCGGCCCCUUGGGAAUGGACUGACGCUCAGGUGCGAAAGCGUGGGGAGCAAACAGG